CACUGAUUUUGCACAUCAGCAUGAAACGAAAAGCAUAAUAAGCUGAAAGAAAAUGCUCCUGUGAACAGAAAAGAACACUUCUCAUCCAUAAACUUGCAUCACGCGUUCAUCUUCCUCUUCGUAUUUUCGAAUCGUCGCGCACCAAUUGAAGAAACCACGACUCCACUUCAUCGAUUCGUGACUCAACAUCAUCAUCAAUGUUCAGAUCGGUUGUAUGCAUGUGGAAACGAAGAAAAACAUAAUUGACACCAGGAAACUCACCAGAUUUUGAAGCUUUGAUUGCAAACAGGUAUCAAAACUUUCUACUUCUUCGAUUUUGAUUCACACUUCUUCUUCUUCUUAUUCACGUGCGAGCAUUAGAUACGGAUGAGAGGGAAGCGAAGUACACCGUGAAUUCGCAUCGCAGUGAGUUUGUGGUAUGAGAGUUGCGAAUUACUCGAUCAAUUGCAUCAUGAUGAUUGCGCCUUCUGCGAUUUGCUUGCGUGUUUGCAGAAGCAGAUUGAGAGUGAAAAAGGUGUGUUCUGAGAUUCGUGGCGAAGAUUGAAUGUUCGAGAGGUGUGAAAAUCAUGAAGAUAUGAGAAGAGUGAAUUGUUAUGAGAUAUUGCCAAUGUGAGAGAGUGAUGAGUGAGGAAGAUGAUUAUUCUGUGAAGGAAAGUGAGAGUGUUGUAUAGCUGUUUAUUUGAGAUUGCAAGAAAUGGUGAAUGAUCUGAGAUUUUCUGUUUUGAGAGAAAAAAAGUUCCAGUUGAAAUUAGGAGGUGAACUUUGUUUAUAUAAGUGAUGAUGAUUCAGUUAAGUUGUUAUCCUGUUAUGCCUUCCAUCCAAAAUUUUGUUGAGUUGGUUAUGAAUUCUAUUGGAUUUUGUUACCAUUUCUACUAUGAGAUUUUUGCUUUCUGUUCAAAGUUUUUUAGGUGGUUUUUGAAAACAGUUAGAGUUUUUAUGAAGUUAGUUAUGAGGAAAACAAAAUUAGGUGGCUGUUAAUGGUUUGUUGUGCAAGUUUGUCUUUGAGCUAAGUUGGAAAAAAAUGAAUUACAUUGGUUCUGUUAUGAUUAUGCAGGUAUGUGGUUUUGGGUGAAGCAGGGCAAUGGUGUUGAAUGUUGCUCUGUUACCAUAUUAUGCAGGGCUGAUGUAUUAGUUGCUUUCACUUGUGUUCAGGGCUAUGCGUUUUUUAUAAAAAUUUUACAGGGUUAUAUGCUUUGUGAUUUUUCUAUCAUGAACUACCUUUGCGUUGUGAAAUAUUAUGCCCUAUUUAAGGUCAGUUUAUAAGUGUAUAUGUUAGUCUCAAUUUUCUUGGCAAAGACCAAUAGGUUAUGUAGAAUUGAAAUGCAAUUGGGAUUUGAUGUGGAAAAUUGAAUGGUAUGUCAAAUAUGUAGUGAAUUAUUCAUUGUGUAUGAUUUUUUUUGGAUUGUAAUGGUAUAGGAAAUUGUGCAUGGUUGGAAAGUUGUGUUGAAUUUAAAUGUGUAUAAUUUAUGGAAUUGGAUUGGAUGGGAAUAUGUAUGUGAAAUAUACUGAAGGUGUGCUAUUUGAAUGUUUGCAAUAAAUGGUUAUGGAAUUGGAUUCAAAUGGUUAAGAUUAGGAUUUUGUGUAUGACUUGAACAUGAAUUUCGAUUUUUGUGUGUUGGUAUGGUUGUAGGUCUUUAAGCAAAGCAUGACAUGACUUUAUGGUGGGCAAGGCAAGGCUUAUGGCAUCGAAAUGGUCAAAUUGAAAAAAAUGGAGUUUUCUCGAUCAUGAAGCAACAUUGGAUCAAGUAUGGAUGUAUAUGUAGUCAAUAUUAAGUUUAGGAGGAAGAAAUGUAAAGGUUGACUUUGGUCAUCUAUUUGAUCAAAAGGUCAACAGUUGACCAAAAAGUCAAAAUUUGGAAAAUGUAUAUUUCUUUUAUUUCCUUAUAAUGGGAUAAUGUAUUCAUUGAUGAAUGAAUGCAAACUCAAAUGUUUGGAUGAAAUAAAAUAUGAUUGUAUGUGAAUCAAGACUUAAGCUUUGACAAAAAAUCAAACUUGACUUUAUGAAUGAAACAAAUCCC
RNAcentral lists this long non-coding RNA (2018 nucleotides) under Lathyrus oleraceus (garden pea). Its description in RNAcentral is "Pisum sativum (pea) long non-coding RNA (PSAT_LNC003845)". Lineage: Eukaryota; Viridiplantae; Streptophyta; Magnoliopsida; Fabales; Fabaceae. The record is from RNAcentral.